AACCCGAGGCAAAUCGCCGCCGCUUGCGGCGGCGCCGUCGCCGGAGCACGGCGGAGCCGCCGUGUCAGAAUUGCGAUAUUGGCCGAAGGGGGCUCUGGGUCUAAUCUGGGAUUUUUUGGGACACGUGCAGGUACCAGUAAUGCGUUUCAGUUCCCCAGAAAAAAAUUCAAGAAAAAUUAGGGACAGCCUGUAGGCACACUGUAGAGCCGUAUCCGGACCCCGAAACAAGUAAGGACCCCUCACCCUAUUUCCUAUCACGGUAUUAAAGUUCAAUA
RNAcentral lists this long non-coding RNA (275 nucleotides) under Carica papaya (papaya). RNAcentral's name for it is "long non-coding RNA (CPAP_LNC004110)". The record is from RNAcentral. Lineage: Eukaryota; Viridiplantae; Streptophyta; Magnoliopsida; Brassicales; Caricaceae.